RNAcentral lists this small nuclear RNA (164 nucleotides) under Pogona vitticeps (central bearded dragon). RNAcentral describes it as "U1 spliceosomal RNA (ENSPVIG00000019423.1)". It matches the Rfam family "U1 spliceosomal RNA". From Rfam's summary of the family: U1 is a small nuclear RNA (snRNA) component of the spliceosome (involved in pre-mRNA splicing). Its 5' end forms complementary base pairs with the 5' splice junction, thus defining the 5' donor site of an intron. The record is from Rfam by way of RNAcentral. Lineage: Eukaryota; Metazoa; Chordata; Lepidosauria; Squamata; Agamidae.
AUAUUUACCUGGCAGGGGAGAUACCAUAAUCAUGAAAGUGGUUUUUCCAGGGUGAAGCUCAUCCAUUGCACCUCAGGCGUGCUGAUCCCUGUGAUUUCUCCAAAUGUGGGAAAUUCAGCUGCAUAAUUUGUGGCAGUGGGGGACUGUGUUUGCGCUUUCCCCUG